UACGAAGGGGGCUAGCGUUGCUCGGAAUCACUGGGCGUAAAGCGCACGUAGGCGGACUCUUAAGUCGGUGGUGAAAUCCUGGAGCUCAACUCCAGAACUGCCUUCGAUACUGAGAGUCUUGAGUCCGGGAGAGGUGAGUGGAACUGCGAGUGUAGAGGUGAAAUCGUAGAUAUUCGCAAGAACACCAGUGGCGAAGGCGGCUCACUGGACCACAACUGACGCUGAGGCGCGAAAGCUAGGGGAGCAAACAGG
Molecule: ribosomal RNA, 252 nt
Filed under: uncultured bacterium
Lineage: Bacteria
Description: partial 16S ribosomal RNA
Rfam family: Bacterial small subunit ribosomal RNA
Source: RNAcentral